This 257-nucleotide long non-coding RNA is filed under the name Ananas comosus (pineapple). Its description in RNAcentral is "long non-coding RNA (ACOM_LNC044273)". Lineage: Eukaryota; Viridiplantae; Streptophyta; Magnoliopsida; Poales; Bromeliaceae. The record is from RNAcentral.
CUACUAUUGAUAGUAAAAAAUCUUUUUUGCUAUCAAAUUUUUUAGCCUUUGAAUCAAUUUUUUUCAUCAUUUCUAACCAUUGGAAUAAAUAUUAUAAUCCAGUAGAGACCACUCAACCUUAAGGGGAUCACUAAAUUCUAAAGAACUAAUAUCAUCCUAAUCCUACAAUUUUUUAUUAAAGGGUUAAAAACUUGAUAACAAAAAAGAUCUUUUGCUAUCAAUAGUAUUCGAGCCUAACUCUUUAUAUAUUAACUUAC